ACCACUGACACGGAACAACGGCAAACACGCCGCCGGGUCAGCGGGGUUCUCCUGAGAACUCCGGCAGAGAAAGCAAAAAUAAAUGCUUGACUCUGUAGCGGGAAGGCGUAUUAUGCACACCCCGCGCCGCUGAGAAAAAGCGAAGCGGCACUGCUCUUUAACAAUUUAUCAGACAAUCUGUGUGGGCACUCGAAGAUACGGAUUCUUAACGUCGCAAGACGAAAAAUGAAUACCAAGUCUCAAGAGUGAACACGUAAUUCAUUACGAAGUUUAAUUCUUUGAGCGUCAAACUUUUAAAUUGAAGAGUUUGAUCAUGGCUCAGAUUGAACGCUGGCGGCAGGCCUAACACAUGCAAGUCGAACGGUAACAGGAAGAAGCUUGCUUCUUUGCUGACGAGUGGCGGACGGGUGAGUAAUGUCUGGGAAACUGCCUGAUGGAGGGGGAUAACUACUGGAAACGGUAGCUAAUACCGCAUAACGUCGCAAGACCAAAGAGGGGGACCUUCGGGCCUCUUGCCAUCGGAUGUGCCCAGAUGGGAUUAGCUAGUAGGUGGGGUAACGGCUCACCUAGGCGACGAUCCCUAGCUGGUCUGAGAGGAUGACCAGCCACACUGGAACUGAGACACGGUCCAGACUCCUACGGGAGGCAGCAGUGGGGAAUAUUGCACAAUGGGCGCAAGCCUGAUGCAGCCAUGCCGCGUGUAUGAAGAAGGCCUUCGGGUUGUAAAGUACUUUCAGCGGGGAGGAAGGGAGUAAAGUUAAUACCUUUGCUCAUUGACGUUACCCGCAGAAGAAGCACCGGCUAACUCCGUGCCAGCAGCCGCGGUAAUACGGAGGGUGCAAGCGUUAAUCGGAAUUACUGGGCGUAAAGCGCACGCAGGCGGUUUGUUAAGUCAGAUGUGAAAUCCCCGGGCUCAACCUGGGAACUGCAUCUGAUACUGGCAAGCUUGAGUCUCGUAGAGGGGGGUAGAAUUCCAGGUGUAGCGGUGAAAUGCGUAGAGAUCUGGAGGAAUACCGGUGGCGAAGGCGGCCCCCUGGACGAAGACUGACGCUCAGGUGCGAAAGCGUGGGGAGCAAACAGGAUUAGAUACCCUGGUAGUCCACGCCGUAAACGAUGUCGACUUGGAGGUUGUGCCCUUGAGGCGUGGCUUCCGGAGCUAACGCGUUAAGUCGACCGCCUGGGGAGUACGGCCGCAAGGUUAAAACUCAAAUGAAUUGACGGGGGCCCGCACAAGCGGUGGAGCAUGUGGUUUAAUUCGAUGCAACGCGAAGAACCUUACCUGGUCUUGACAUCCACGGAAGUUUUCAGAGAUGAGAAUGUGCCUUCGGGAACCGUGAGACAGGUGCUGCAUGGCUGUCGUCAGCUCGUGUUGUGAAAUGUUGGGUUAAGUCCCGCAACGAGCGCAACCCUUAUCCUUUGUUGCCAGCGGUCCGGCCGGGAACUCAAAGGAGACUGCCAGUGAUAAACUGGAGGAAGGUGGGGAUGACGUCAAGUCAUCAUGGCCCUUACGACCAGGGCUACACACGUGCUACAAUGGCGCAUACAAAGAGAAGCGACCUCGCGAGAGCAAGCGGACCUCAUAAAGUGCGUCGUAGUCCGGAUUGGAGUCUGCAACUCGACUCCAUGAAGUCGGAAUCGCUAGUAAUCGUGGAUCAGAAUGCCACGGUGAAUACGUUCCCGGGCCUUGUACACACCGCCCGUCACACCAUGGGAGUGGGUUGCAAAAGAAGUAGGUAGCUUAACCUUCGGGAGGGCGCUUACCACUUUGUGAUUCAUGACUGGGGUGAAGUCGUAACAAGGUAACCGUAGGGGAACCUGCGGUUGGAUCACCUCCUUACCUUAAAGAAGCGUACUUUGUAGUGCUCACACAGAUUGUCUGAUAGAAAGUGAAAAGCAAGGCGUUUACGCGUUGGGAGUGAGGCUGAAGAGAAUAAGGCCGUUCGCUUUCUAUUAAUGAAAGCUCACCCUACACGAAAAUAUCACGCAACGCGUGAUAAGCAAUUUUCGUGUCCCCUUCGUCUAGAGGCCCAGGACACCGCCCUUUCACGGCGGUAACAGGGGUUCGAAUCCCCUAGGGGACGCCA
Molecule: unclassified non-coding RNA, 2084 nt
Filed under: Escherichia coli
Lineage: Bacteria; Pseudomonadati; Pseudomonadota; Gammaproteobacteria; Enterobacterales; Enterobacteriaceae
Description: partial miscellaneous RNA
Rfam family: Bacterial small subunit ribosomal RNA (bases 296-1837)
Source: RNAcentral